AACCUAAUAUUCUUCCCUUUUAAAAAAAAAUGUGAUUUAGUUAUGUGCAUAGAAUAAAAAAUAUUAGCAGACAAAAAUGUUCAAGAAGACAGUAUAGUUUGUUGAAACUGAGAAUAUGCCAAUACUAGUAUAUUAGAAAAAAAAGCAUUAAUAAAAAUAAAUGGUGCAGUUAAUUUUGCUGGCGCAAUUUGAAUAAACUUAAUUGCAUUUAUCUGGUUACUAUAUUUCAAAAAUAUGCUUCGGAAACAAUGCUUGAAAAAUCAAAGUGCUAUGACAGUCAUUUGCUUGUUAUUCUUGAAUUUUAUGAUUUUCAUUUCCUUUUCUUUGUUAUAUGUAACAGUGUGAGGAAUAUUUAACACCAUUAAUCUGCUUGAGAGUUCCAUUUUUGGAUUAUACACCGUCUCAGACUGCAGAUGAAGAGUUUAAAUGACUCAUCCAAGAUCAUCCAGCUAGUAAACUUUUAAGGUAGGAUUUGAACUUGGAUCUUCCCGUUUCCAGGUCCACUGGUCUCUUCAUUAUGCCAUAUAGCUGCCUCUAACAAUGAAAUCACAGUUCCAGAGUCCCUAUCCUACCCCAAAGAAAAGCUGGCUUUCUUCUGAAAGCACGUAUGAUUUCCCUUAGUCUUCAUUUUAUGGAGAAGCUCCCCCAAACUCUUGUUCUCUGAGAAGAUUUGAAGGAAGUGUCUGUCUGGGCUCUUUGUUUCUAAUCAAUUACAGGAAGAGCUCUCUGAUCUAUUCAGAGGGAGUCAAUUGAAAAGCAUCAUAUUAGAACAACUUGAGCUUUUUCCAUGGUUUCCUGUCCAGUGAAGCUUCAGCAAACAAAAUCACAAAAGGCCACUUGCACGAAACAGGUCCAGAGAUUUGAUACCUCUCUGAGCACUGACGAGAAAGGGGACAGAUACAGUGGGAGAUCUCAACAGGAAGAGCAAACAUAGAACAAGCACCAGAGACU
This 951-nucleotide long non-coding RNA is filed under the name Monodelphis domestica (gray short-tailed opossum). RNAcentral describes it as "lncRNA (ENSMODG00000008838.4)". The record is from RNAcentral. Lineage: Eukaryota; Metazoa; Chordata; Mammalia; Didelphimorphia; Didelphidae.